RNAcentral lists this ribosomal RNA (410 nucleotides) under Pseudomonas sp. MIS38. Its description in RNAcentral is "bacterial SSU rRNA". It matches the Rfam family "Bacterial small subunit ribosomal RNA", at positions 97 to 503 of the family's 1533-position model. Lineage: Bacteria; Pseudomonadati; Pseudomonadota; Gammaproteobacteria; Pseudomonadales; Pseudomonadaceae. The record is from RNAcentral.
GGCGGACGGGUGAGUAAUGCCUAGGAAUCUGCCUGGUAGUGGGGGACAACGUUUCGAAAGGAACGCUAAUACCGCAUACGUCCUACGGGAGAAAGCAGGGGACCUUCGGGCCUUGCGCUAUCAGAUGAGCCUAGGUCGGAUUAGCUAGUUGGUGAGGUAAUGGCUCACCAAGGCGACGAUCCGUAACUGGUCUGAGAGGAUGAUCAGUCACACUGGAACUGAGACACGGUCCAGACUCCUACGGGAGGCAGCAGUGGGGAAUAUUGGACAAUGGGCGAAAGCCUGAUCCAGCCAUGCCGCGUGUGUGAAGAAGGUCUUCGGAUUGUAAAGCACUUUAAGUUGGGAGGAAGGGUUGUAGAUUAAUACUCUGCAAUUUUGACGUUACCGACAGAAUAAGCACCGGCUAACUC